AUGGCGAUCAAGACCUCUUUCAAAGAACAAACCAAAACUAAGACUCAAGACCCAAAGUCCUACAUCAUGACAACGCACCAGCUGCCACCCAAGGACAGAAUUUGGCCUUUGCAUAUGAUGUCCCUUGGACCCCUCUCCCCAGGUCCCGCCAGCACCUCCUUCGGAUCUGGAUGGAGCCCUAGUCACAGCUCUGACCACAAGGCUGAUAAUGGAGUCUUCCUUAUGCUGAUGAAUGAAGUGACCCUUAAUAAGAUGCAACCAGGCCAGAAAAAGCCAAAUGAGAAAGUUGGCAGCAUUAACUUCCAGGGACACCUGCAGCUGUGCAGAGAAGACUUUUCCAGAUCUACCUCUAGCUGGUGGUCGUGCAGAGGAAGGACUUUGUGCAGAUCCACGUGUUUCCAGAGUGAAGUCCCAGGGGUUAGGCUAGGCUGUGUGUGUAGCAGCUAUAGACCCAGACAUGACCAGGCAUCCUGCAGCCCCAAAAGGUGGCCUCCUGGGGGCUACAUGUAGGAGCAACCACACACCUUAUAAGAGGUGAGCUUCAGAUGGGAAAUUCUGUCCUCCAGAAUUCCUCUAAGGGAAACCACAGAGUUUGCUAGAAGGAAUGACUUGAUGAGCCCUCUUGGGGUAGGAGGAGAGGUCCUAGGGAGGGUGUGUUGGCUGGCUCCAAGACUUUGGGGUGAGGGUAGCAGUGUGAUAGAGGAGGGGAAUUUGGAUCCUCUAGAGGUCAAUCCAAGGAGAAGGUGAGGAGAAGAGGCAGGAGGAGGGAAGAGAGAAUACAGUAAGGCUGUGUGUUCCACAGUCAUUCCCCCUCACCCCAUCACCACUGUAUUUGACUCAGAACUUAAUCUAAAUGGAUGAAGGGACUAAGGUUGAGGUCUGCACGGCAGUGGGAGUAGGGAGGGCAGUGCGCUACAUGGGCAAAGUAGGAAUAGCACAUGGGCAUUCAGGAGCUGGACCCCUGAACAGAAGGUCUUGGAAUUAGCAGACAUUGUAGCCAGAACUUUAGACUCUCGGAGGCCAUACAGAUGGCUGGGACCCAAUCUCUGUAUCUCCAAGGAUAUCUGGGUUAUAUAUGGAAAGAGAGAAGCAAGCUUGGCUAAGAAUAAUGGGGAAAGCUGUGCCACUCAUAUUUCUAUUUCCACCCUCUCCCAGCAUCAAGCCAGCAAAUAAUAAGCUCAAUAAGGCAAUGAUCCUGAUGGAGCCCGUCAGCCACCUCUGGGAGUGUGAGGAAACUGAGAUCCAGACAGGGCAGUGAUGUGCCACAUUCCGCACCAUUUCUGGAAUGGUGUGCCAUUCUGUGCCAAUGCUGAACUCUGGAGGAGGAGAGAGACAACAGAGGACACCUGACAGCGUAUGGGAAUAAGAGUGGAGACCUUACUCCGGACUCUGGUCUGGCUUGGAAGCAUUCGAGAGGGGCUAGAAGUCCCUAAUUUUGUAGGUGGGAGAGGAACAGAGAAAUACUGUUUUGUUACUAUUGUCAUUUCUGUUUUGUAGACUCAGUUGAAUACCACUAGGACGGGUCACACGAUUUUGAAUGUGUUAACACCUCGGCCAUGGAGCAGCCAUCUGGUAGGAAAGCAUUUACCCAGGCAAAGUGCUCUGGUGAUUUAGAUGAGUCAGUGACUGGGUGACAACGGCCAGAAGUCAGAAAAUGGGGAGAAGAGGCACCAUGUGGCAGAGAUUAUGCUAGAUCAGCAUUCAAACACCUGAGUGCAAGUUCCUGCCCUAUUGGUGGGCAGAUUACUUAUUACUUAUUGUCUGUGAUACUCGAGAGACAUCAGUGAAACAGGAUAAUGUCCCCAAUGCCACAGCAACAGACCCCCUCAUCAAGGCACAACCCCAUAGUUUGUAAGCUGCUGCUGCAAUCCUUUCUGCCCCUGACUUUAUAAAUGAUCCCCUCUAAAGAAAAAAUGUAAAUUCAUGGUGAGUUUUGUAAGCCUCAAUUGUUUCACCUGUGAAAUAGAAUCAGUAACCCCUACCUCCUACGUCUACUACAUGUUUAUGAGAUAAUGGCUGUAAAUGUAUUUCACAAACUGUAAAGUGUUGCACGUGUAUAAAUGACCACCAUUAGGUUAAACCACCUGAUAUUCAGUCAUUUUAGAACUACUACAAAACAGAAAUUUCACAUGGUUCGACCUAAAACUAUCAUUUUUUUGUGAUUAUCAACAUUAGGCUGACAAAUCGCAUUUGUGGAGAUUUCAGAAAAAGGUAGGUUUAAAAAUGGACUUUUGGGGAUCCCUGGGUGGCUCAGUGGUUUAGCGCCUGCCUUUGGCCCAGGGCGUGAUCCUGGAGCCCCGGGAUCGAGUCCCAUGUCGGGCUCCCUGCAUGGAGCCUGCUUCUCCCUCUGCCUGUGUCUCUGCCUCUCUCUCUCUCUCUCUCUCUCUCUCUCUCUCUGUGUGUGUGAUCCUCAUGAAUAGAUAAAUAAAAUCUUUAAGAGAAAUAAAUAAAAAUGGACU
This 2459-nucleotide long non-coding RNA is filed under the name Vulpes vulpes (red fox). RNAcentral describes it as "lncRNA (ENSVVUG00000016465.1)". The record is from RNAcentral. Lineage: Eukaryota; Metazoa; Chordata; Mammalia; Carnivora; Canidae.